UACGUAGGAGGCAAGCGUUGUCCGGAAUUACUGGGCGUAAAGCGCGUGUAGGCGGUCUGAAUAGUCUGCUGUGAAAGCGCCUGGCUUAACCGGGCGAGGUCGGCGGAAACUCUCAGACUGGAGGCCGGUAGAGGGGGGUGGAAUUCCCGGUGUAGUGGUGAAAUGCGUAGAGAUCGGGAGGAACACCUGUGGCGAAGGCGGCCCCCUGGGCCGCGCCUGACGCUGAGACGCGAAGGCUAGGGGAGCGAACGGG
RNAcentral lists this ribosomal RNA (253 nucleotides) under uncultured bacterium. RNAcentral describes it as "partial 16S ribosomal RNA". It matches the Rfam family "Bacterial small subunit ribosomal RNA", at positions 524 to 776 of the family's 1533-position model. The record is from RNAcentral.